GCAUAACACAUGCAAGUCGAACGAUGAAACUUAAAUGAUUUCUUCGGAAUGAACUUAAGUGGAUUAGUGGCGGACGGGUGAGUAACGCGUGAGUAACCUGCCUUACACAAGGGGAUAGCCGUUGGAAACGACGAAUAAUACCCUAUGAAACUAUCACUUCGCAUGAAGCGAUUAGUCAAAGUGUUAGCGGUGUAAGAUGGACUUGCGUCUGAUUAGCUAGUUGGUGAGAAAAAAGCCCACCAAGGCAACGAUCAGUAGCCGGCUUGAGAGAGUGUACGGCCACAUUGGGACUGAGACACGGCCCAGACUCCUACGGGAGGCAGCAGUGGGGAAUUUUGCACAAUGGGGGAAACCCUGAUGCAGCGACGCCGCGUGAUUUAGAAGGCCUUCGGGUUGUAAAAAUCUUUUGUAUAGGAAGAAAAUGACAGUACUAUACGAAUAAGGUCCGGCUAAUUACGUGCCAGCAGCCGCGGUAAUACGUAAGGACCGAGCGUUGUCCGGAAUCAUUGGGCGUAAAGGGUACGUAGGCGGGUCAUUAAGUUAGAAGUCAAAGGCUAUAGCUCAACUAUAGUAAGCUUCUAAAACUGGAGACCUUGAGUAAUGGAAGGGAAAGUGGAAUUCCUAGUGUAGCGGUGGAAUGCGCAGAUAUUAGGAGGAAUACCGGUGGCGAAGGCGACUUUCUGGCCAUUA
This 690-nucleotide ribosomal RNA is filed under the name uncultured Eubacteriales bacterium. RNAcentral describes it as "bacterial SSU rRNA". It matches the Rfam family "Bacterial small subunit ribosomal RNA", at positions 46 to 738 of the family's 1533-position model. The record is from RNAcentral. Lineage: Bacteria; Bacillati; Bacillota; Clostridia; Eubacteriales.